AGGCUGGAAGUGACUCUUUGCUCAGCAAAAACUGCCUUAGAGAGCAGGAGAAAAUGGCAGUGUGCAAGAUGGGGAAAGGAUGGGGUCACACAAAGAAAAAGAGCUAGAGUUGACCUCUUUUCCACUCUGGGAAUGAGAUGUAAGCCAGGAGGCAAGCCUGAGGCUGAGACUCCACCAGGGAUGGCAGAAUCUCCUGAAGGAUUGGAGGUGGUGGCCAGGGCAGAGGCCAAGGUCUUGACAGAGGCCACUGACGAGGUGAAUGAAAAAGAGACCAAGUGAAAAAAUAAGUUGAUUUAGUGACCUGAAUGUAUCCCAUAGAGUGGAAAAUAAAAUACAGGAUCCCAAACCUUGCCCUUCCAUGUCAUCAUCAUCUUUGAAAUAUACAGGAAAAGGUGGGCUGUUUUGGCUUCCUACCAUGGAGGAGGACCUUGAAGGAGAAAACUGGCAGACCUUCUCCAUUCCCUGGUGCUUCAGCAGGGCAGCUGAGGAUGAAGGAGAACAUAUUUGCCAGUGAGUAAUGGUCUUCAAGGAAAAAAUAUCAGGGGUCUUAUUGUUGCUUUCUGAGAUGAGCUUGUGCUUUUCAGUAGGAUGAAUUUAUUUGGAAAGAAUUGAAAGCUGUGUCUCAGAAUUAUACAAGAACGAUGCCUUUGGAGAAAAAUGAAGUCCUUCUGAGUUUUGUUCAGGCAAUUCAAAAAUUUAAAAAGAAUAUUGGAGGCAAGGCAUGAAUAUCCUGUAAAACAGAAGGACAAAGCCGUAUACUACUUUGGUCAUUUAUUUCCUUAGGAAUAAAUGUCCACAGGCACUUUUGGGAAAAGA
RNAcentral lists this long non-coding RNA (816 nucleotides) under Homo sapiens (human). Its description in RNAcentral is "HSALNT0406974". The record is from RNAcentral. Lineage: Eukaryota; Metazoa; Chordata; Mammalia; Primates; Hominidae.